GGAGUGGGCCGGACGGCCGCUGCUGGCGGGCCACGAUGGCGCGCUGCCCUUCACCAGGGAUCGCCGCUCGUCGCGCUCCGCCGGGAGAGGAAAGUCCGGGCUCCCUAGGACAAGGUGGUCGGUAACACCGACCGGCCGCAAGGCCCGGGAAAGUGCAACAGAAAGCAAACCGCCGCGGCUGGCAGAGCCCCCGUCGUUUUUGCCGCCGCGGUAAGGGUGAAACGGUGCGGUAAGAGCGCACCAGCAGCCGGGGCGACCCGGCUGGCUUGGCAAACCCCACCUGGAGCAAGGCCAAGCAGAGCGUCCGCACGUCGGGCUCGCCGUUUCACGGCGGCGGGCAGACGCGCGCGGGCUGGUCCGGCCCGACACGGCGCUCGGGUAGGCUGCUUGAGGCGCCGGGCAACCGGCGUCCUAGAGAAAUGGCCGUCCGCGCUGCGCAGGCCGUUUGGACGCGCAGCGCGACAGAACCCGGCUUACAGGCCCGCUCCGAGG
RNAcentral lists this RNase P RNA (492 nucleotides) under Planctomycetaceae bacterium. RNAcentral describes it as "RNase P RNA component class A". It matches the Rfam family "Bacterial RNase P class A". Rfam says of the family: Ribonuclease P (RNase P) is a ubiquitous endoribonuclease, found in archaea, bacteria and eukarya as well as chloroplasts and mitochondria. Its best characterised activity is the generation of mature 5'-ends of tRNAs by cleaving the 5'-leader elements of precursor-tRNAs. Cellular RNase Ps are ribonucleoproteins. Lineage: Bacteria; Pseudomonadati; Planctomycetota; Planctomycetia; Planctomycetales; Planctomycetaceae. The record is from RNAcentral.